UGCGUAGGCGGACUAAUAAGUCAGUGGUGAAAUCUCUCGGCUCAACCGGGAAACUGCCAUUGAUACUGUUAGUCUUGAGUUCGGUUGAGGUAGGCGGAAUAUGUAAUGUAGCGGUGAAAUGCUUAGAUAUUACACAGAACACCAAUUGCGUAGGCAGCUUACUAGACCGACACUGACGCUGAGGCACGAAAGCGUGGGUAGCGAACAGGAUUAGAUACCCUGGUAGUCC
Molecule: ribosomal RNA, 229 nt
Filed under: uncultured bacterium
Lineage: Bacteria
Description: partial 16S ribosomal RNA
Rfam family: Bacterial small subunit ribosomal RNA
Source: RNAcentral